Molecule: ribosomal RNA, 920 nt
Filed under: Salmonella enterica
Lineage: Bacteria; Pseudomonadati; Pseudomonadota; Gammaproteobacteria; Enterobacterales; Enterobacteriaceae
Also listed under: 1 other name
Description: partial 23S ribosomal RNA
Rfam family: Bacterial large subunit ribosomal RNA
Source: RNAcentral
UUCUGUAAGCCUGUGAAGGUGGCCUGUGAGGGUUGCUGGAGGUAUCAGAAGUGCGAAUGCUGACAUAAGUAACGAUAAAGCGGGUGAAAAGCCCGCUCGCCGGAAGACCAAGGGUUCCUGUCCAACGUUAAUCGGGGCAGGGUGAGUCGACCCCUAAGGCGAGGCCGAAAGGCGUAGUCGAUGGGAAACGGGUUAAUAUUCCCGUACUUGGUGUUACUGCGAAGGGGGGACGGAGAAGGCUAUGUUGGCCGGGCGACGGUUGUCCCGGUUUAAGCGUGUAGGUGUGUGUUCCAGGUAAAUCCGGUUCACUUUAACACUGAGGCGUGACGACGAGGCACUACGGUGCUGAAGCAACAAAUGCCCUGCUUCCAGGAAAAGCCUCUAAGCAUCAGGUAACAUCAAAUCGUACCCCAAACCGACACAGGUGGUCAGGUAGAGAAUACCAAGGCGCUUGAGAGAACUCGGGUGAAGGAACUAGGCAAAAUGGUGCCGUAACUUCGGGAGAAGGCACGCUGACACGUAGGUGAAGUGAUUUACUCAUGGAGCUGAAGUCAGUCGAAGAUACCAGCUGGCUGCAACUGUUUAUUAAAAACACAGCACUGUGCAAACACGAAAGUGGACGUAUACGGUGUGACGCCUGCCCGGUGCCGGAAGGUUAAUUGAUGGGGUCAGCGCAAGCGAAGCUCCUGAUCGAAGCCCCGGUAAACGGCGGCCGUAACUAUAACGGUCCUAAGGUAGCGAAAUUCCUUGUCGGGUAAGUUCCGACCUGCACGAAUGGCGUAAUGAUGGCCAGGCUGUCUCCACCCGAGACUCAGUGAAAUUGAACUCGCUGUGAAGAUGCAGUGUACCCGCGGCAAGACGGAAAGACCCCGUGAACCUUUACUAUAGCUUGACACUGAACAUUGAGCCUUGAUGUGUAG